RNAcentral lists this Y RNA (114 nucleotides) under Prolemur simus (greater bamboo lemur). Its description in RNAcentral is "Y RNA (ENSPSMG00000009752.1)". It matches the Rfam family "Y RNA". From Rfam's summary of the family: Y RNAs are components of the Ro ribonucleoprotein particle (Ro RNP), in association with Ro60 and La proteins. The Y RNAs and Ro60 and La proteins are well conserved, but the function of the Ro RNP is not known. Lineage: Eukaryota; Metazoa; Chordata; Mammalia; Primates; Lemuridae. The record is from Rfam by way of RNAcentral.
GGCUGGUCCCAACGUGGCGAGUGAUCUCACUUGCUUGUUCACAGGGAGUUACAGAUUGAACUCCUUGUUCUACUACCUUCCUCCCUUCUCACUGCUGCACUUGACUAGUCUGAA